Molecule: non-coding RNA, 45 nt
Filed under: Schistosoma margrebowiei
Lineage: Eukaryota; Metazoa; Platyhelminthes; Trematoda; Strigeidida; Schistosomatidae
Source: RNAcentral
AUUCAGCUGACGAAUUUCAAGUAAGACGAGACGCGCGUCUUGGAU